UACGUAGGGUGCAAGCGUUUAAUCGGAAUUACUGGGCGUAAAGCGUGCGCAGGCGGUUUGGUAAGACAGAUGUGAAAUCCCCGGGCUUAACCUGGGAAUUGCAUUUGUGACUGCCCGGCUAGAGUUUGGCAGAGGGGGGUAGAAUUCCACGUGUAGCAGUGAAAUGCGUAGAUAUGUGGAGGAAUACCGAUGGCGAAGGCAGCCCCCUGGGUCAAGACUGACGCUCAUGCACGAAAGCGUGGGGAGCAAACAGG
RNAcentral lists this ribosomal RNA (254 nucleotides) under uncultured bacterium. RNAcentral's name for it is "partial 16S ribosomal RNA". It matches the Rfam family "Bacterial small subunit ribosomal RNA", at positions 524 to 776 of the family's 1533-position model. The record is from RNAcentral.